RNAcentral lists this ribosomal RNA (440 nucleotides) under uncultured Lachnospiraceae bacterium. Its description in RNAcentral is "bacterial SSU rRNA". It matches the Rfam family "Bacterial small subunit ribosomal RNA", at positions 338 to 795 of the family's 1533-position model. Lineage: Bacteria; Bacillati; Bacillota; Clostridia; Lachnospirales; Lachnospiraceae. The record is from RNAcentral.
CCUACGGGAGGCAGCAGUGGGGAAUAUUGGACAAUGGGGGAAACCCUGAUCCAGCGACGCCGCGUGAGUGAAGAAGUAUUUCGGUAUGUAAAGCUCUAUCAGCAGGGAAGAAAAUGACGGUACCUGACUAAGAAGCCCCGGCUAACUACGUGCCAGCAGCCGCGGUAAUACGUAGGGGGCAAGCGUUAUCCGGAUUUACUGGGUGUAAAGGGAGCGCAGACGGCUUGGCAAGUCUGAAGUGAAAGCCCGGGGCUUAACCCCGGGACUGCUUUGGAAACUGUGAAGCUAGAGUGUCGGAGAGGUAAGUGGAAUUCCCAGUGUAGCGGUGAAAUGCGUAGAUAUUGGGAGGAACACCGGUGGCGAAGGCGGCUUACUGGACGAUAACUGACGUUGAGGCUCGAAGGCGUGGGGAGCAAACAGGAUUAGAUACCCCGGUAGUC